UGAGUAACACGUGGGGAACCUGCCCCAUAGUCUGGGAUACCACUUGGAAACAGGUGCUAAUACCGGAUAAGAAAGCGGAUCGCAUGAUCAGCUUUUAAAAGGCGGCGUAAGCUGUCGCUAUGGGAUGGCCCCGCGCCGCAUUAGCUAGUUGGUAAGGUAACGGCUUACCAAGGCAACGAUGCGUAGCCGACCUGAGAGGGUGAUCGGCCACACUGGAACUGAGACACGGUCCAGACUCCUACGGGAGGCAGCAGCC
Molecule: ribosomal RNA, 256 nt
Filed under: uncultured Lactobacillus sp.
Lineage: Bacteria; Bacillati; Bacillota; Bacilli; Lactobacillales; Lactobacillaceae
Description: partial 16S ribosomal RNA
Rfam family: Bacterial small subunit ribosomal RNA
Source: RNAcentral